This is a long non-coding RNA of Cercocebus atys (sooty mangabey), 3273 nucleotides long. RefSeq lists it as uncharacterized. The transcript is spliced from 4 exons. The record is from RefSeq and is a predicted model, not a curated record. NCBI's taxonomy places the organism in Eukaryota, Metazoa, Chordata, Mammalia, Primates, Cercopithecidae.
GUAUAGAUUGCAGUUUGAGCGCCAAGGCCUGAGAAUCAGAAUCUCUGAGGGCAGGAGAAGCUCAAUGCUCCGGCUCGACAGUCGGAGAAUCAGUUCAACUGUUCUCAGCCCUUUUGUUCUAAGCAGGUCCUCAGUGGACUGAAGGAGGCCCCCACACACUGGGGAGGGCAGUCUACUCAGCCCAUCAACUCAAAUACUAAUCUCUUCCAAAAACACCCUCACAGACACACGUAGAGAUAAUGUCUAGCCAGCUAUCUGGUUUCUGUUGACACAUAAAAUUAACUAUCACGAGUGGUAAAAGCAGAAAAAAUAACUAUUGGGUACUGGACUCAAUACCUGGGUGAUGAAAUAAUCUGUACAAUAGACCCUCAUGACACGAGUUUAACUAUGUAACAAAGCUGCACAUGUACCCCUGAACCUAAAGUAAAAAUUGAAGAAAAAAGAAAAGCAAAAUAUACUAAGGACUAUCAUAUAAGAAUUUUGUAUAAACUUAAACUAUUUCAAGUAGUAUUUUCUGCUUACCUAUAGAUUCUUCCAGCAGAGACGUGUGAAUUGGGCUUUGUGGGGGAAAGUGCAGGUGCUUUGGUGGGAGGAGUAGAACUUAUGCUAAUCGUUGCUGCUCCCCUAUCUUGUGAGAUAGGGAAACGAGUCAACAUGGUGUUUAGUGAAAAGAUGAUGUUAAAGAAGUUUCAUUGGCUUGGCCUAUGGUAGACCUUCUGUUAAACUCUUAAGGGAUCUAUUGCCAUGUGGAUUUUGCUCACGUUACUGAAGGGUUUUUAUGGGAACAAAUUGUUAAGCACUGAAGGGGAAUUGGGAAAUCUGGUAUUUCUACUUCCAGCUUUUCUAGACUGCUUGCUGGAUGGUUGGAAACAAAUGAUUAAAUUCCCUGAGGUGCCUCAAACUCAUUAAGCUGGGGCCACUCACAUACUGGCAGUGUGCUAAGAGGGCUCCUGGGAUUCUGUGUCACCAGGCAGUUUGCUCCCAGGAGAACUGGCUUAGAUCCUAGCAGUAAGUGCUGGCGUAACGUUUCACGGCUUUGGGGUGCUGCCCGAGAAGUUGACUCUAUUGCUGUUUCACAGGAGGUGGUGAAAGAGGCCUGUCGGUUUUAGAUGUCUGUUUAGUAAAAGAAAGGGCUGUGAUGGCAGACUUGCAGCUGGUUUGAGGGAAAUGUGGAUCCAGCUCUGGAGCUGAGUCUUAGAGCAAAACAAGGAAUCGGUCCUGCAGAAAUGGUCCAUGAACGUGAACCAGAGAAACAUUUUUGGAGUUUGGUAUUUGCAGGUUCCUUGAAAAAAUGUUUCAUAAUUAAAAAGUUUGAUGAAGGACUUUCUCAUUCAAAGAUUUUAGUAUUUCCCCAUUGCCAAGGGAGAGUGGGGACUAACCAGACAAUUAGCUGCUUCUUGCUGCAGAGUGGAUGAGAGGUUUGGAUUGCCUCUUUAAAGGAGAGUAAACCCUGUUUGUUGUGACUGCUUCUGUGAUGGGUGAUCAAAGGGCAGUGUGGACGGUGAGAAAAUAAAGGAUGACAUUUAGAUACUCAACCAUAAUGCUGCAUUCUUUACUUUUAAAAAGAGAGAGAAGGAAGAAAAGAAAAUAUAUCCUUACAAGUUUUAAAUGUUCUUUAAUUUGAGAAAACCUGCCAUGGAUGGAAGGAAGGACGAACAUUUGACAUUGUUCAAUACUGAGGACUCCUGAAGUCCAGUUACCCUGAACUAGCUUUUACCUUCUUGAUUUGAAGUAGUGGGUCCCAAAAUCAGUUUGCCUGCUUCUGGUAGGUUUGCAGGGUUAGGAUGUGAGGUCUGCAGAGAAAGAAAGUUUCGGCUAGAUUUCUUACUUACUCAGAGUGGCCCUCCAAACCCUGGUCCCUGUCAGAGAAGCAGGAAACCAAAGUCUUGUCUCCCAUCCUUAAUUAGCUUUUUGUAACCAUCCCACAUCACUUUUUCUGUAUAUUUCCAUGUUCAUGACUAUACAAAGGCCAUUGUAACAGCUUAGAAGUUAGGGGCACAGGCUCCAGAGCUACUGUGCAGGGGUUUGAAACUUAGCGCCUUCAUUCAUGGGCAAUGUGACUUCAAACAAGUUGCUUUAAUCUUUCUGUGCCUUACUUUUCUCAUCCGUAAAGUGGAAAUGGAAUUAGAACAUAUUUUAUACGAUCAUUGUGAGGAUUAAGUGAGUUCAUACAUGUUCAAUGUUAGCUGUGUGCCUGGCACAUGGUAAGAGUUCAAUACAUGGGAUCUAUUAUCCUUGGAAAGGUUGGAAGAAGGAUGCAUUAAAAUAAGUGGAACACAUAGAGUUCUGAACAGAGAGAUCCAUGUACCUUUGUCUUCUUUAGCGUAGGUCUAUGCUACAUUAUUUCACAGAUAACUUACGAUGUGCAUAGUGCUGUGCUAUGCAUCCAAGCUUGGCAAUUUUAAGACAAUUCCUACCCUCCAAGGAUUUAGAGCUAGGUCAGUAGGAAAGAUGGCAGGCUUAAAGCUGAUCAGCUGCAAUCCAGGGCAGUGUAUGGGAUCAAGUGCCUACACAAGGAUAAUGGGUAUGCAUGGUAUAGGAUCCUAAAAAGAUACUAUAAAACAUUCAUAUAUGUAUAAUAGAAGUCCCCAGAAUUAUUCAAUACCAAUCUUUGAGGCUCAUUUUUGCAUGCAGUCACAAGAUAUGAAUGUUUAGGCUUUGAAAAGGGAAAAAGAGCCUCUUAAUCAACUCCAGGUAAUGCUUUUUCUGUCUUGCUGUAACAAUACAUGAUCAUAUUUCUCUGAUCAUUUAUCUCAUUGUUUUGCAGUUAUCUACUGAUGCACUACUCUCCUUUACCACCCCUGGAGGGGUGAAGACUAUGUGUUACUCAUCUUUAUAUCCCCUGCCUGGAGCCCAUGGCCUGCACUUAGUAGGCAUUUAAUAAAGAAAGUGCACAGUAGCAUGGAGGAUGACACAAAAGUCAGCAGACCUGCUAAACCUAUGUGAAUGACCAUUGACUCCCCACUUUCAUGUAGAGUUUAAAGAGAAUCGUUUGAACAAUGAUGCGACUGUAAACCGUGUGUGUGUGUGCGCGUGUGCGCUAAUACGAUUUAGGCUGGAUUUGGACACUGAGGGACAGUUCCUGGAGAUGCUGAGGAUUAGUGGUAACAGCUGUUACUCUCCCCAUUAGAGGAAAAACUGAAAGGAGAAGAAAAUACUUUUGUGUAAGGGAUGUGUUUGCAACUCUGAGGGAGGCAGCCGUUCUAUCAAGCCUGAAGAAAAGUGUGUUCCUAGAGACAGGGUCUUGCUCUGUGCCCAGGCCGGAGUGUAGUG